Long non-coding RNA from Xiphias gladius (swordfish), 352 nucleotides. RefSeq lists it as uncharacterized. Lineage: Eukaryota; Metazoa; Chordata; Actinopteri; Istiophoriformes; Xiphiidae. The transcript is spliced from 3 exons. The record is from RefSeq and is a predicted model, not a curated record.
CACCCGUCUGCCUGUAAGACUGUUGACUUUCAUUAAGCUCCCUGGGGCAUCAGCCGGUCUGAGUCUGCGUUCGGAUCCUCCUGUUCGUUUUUGGCAAAAAUCCCUUUUCUGGUGACUUUCGCUCUCAUUUGCGAACUGUUUUGACCUUUCGACCGAAGAGAUAACUGAUGGACUACCUGUGAUGGGGAAACUGCUGCAGAGGUUGGAAUCAAAACCAGAACGUUGAAGAACCAGAGCGUGAAGCUCCCGUCGCCUCAGCUUUGGGGGUAGUUGGCCUCCAUGUGUGAAGGAACUUCUCCACCUCCAUGUGAACCGACGGUGAAAGAUUGUAAACAAACCGCUGCCCGUCCAU